UGCCUUACACAUGCAAGUCGAACGGCAGCGCGGGAGCAAUCCUGGCGGCGAGUGGCGAACGGGUGAGUAAUGCAUCGGAACGUGCCCAUCGAUGGGGGAUAACUGCGCGAAAGCGUUGCUAAUACCGCAUACGACCUACGGGUGAAAGCAGGGGACCGCAAGGCCUUGCGUCGAUGGAGCGGCCGAUGUCGGAUUAGCUAGUUGGUGAGGUAAAGGCUCACCAAGGCGACGAUCCGUAGCUGGUCUGAGAGGACGACCCAGCCACACUGGGACUGAGACACGGCCCAGACUCCUACGGGAGGCAGCAGUGGGGAAUCUUGGACAAUGGGCGCAAGCCUGAUCCAGCAAUGCCGCGUGUGGGAAGAAGGCCUUCGGGUUGUAAACCACUUUUGGCAGGAAAGAAAUCGUUCGGGCCAAUACCCUGGAUGGAUGACGGUACCUGCAGAAUAAGCACCGGCUAACUACGUG
Molecule: ribosomal RNA, 468 nt
Filed under: uncultured bacterium
Lineage: Bacteria
Description: bacterial SSU rRNA
Rfam family: Bacterial small subunit ribosomal RNA
Source: RNAcentral